Molecule: ribosomal RNA, 484 nt
Filed under: uncultured bacterium
Lineage: Bacteria
Description: partial 16S ribosomal RNA
Rfam family: Bacterial small subunit ribosomal RNA
Source: RNAcentral
AUUGAACGCUGGCGGCAGGCCUAACACAUGCAAGUCGAGCGGAUGAAGGGAGCUUGCUCCUGGAUUCAGCGGCGGACGGGUGAGUAAUGCCUAGGAAUCUGCCUGGUAGUGGGGGAUAACGUCCGGAAACGGGCGCUAAUACCGCAUACGUCCUGAGGGAGAAAGUGGGGGAUCUUCGGACCUCACGCUAUCAGAUGAGCCUAGGUCGGAUUAGCUAGUUGGUGGGGUAAAGGCCUACCAAGGCGACGAUCCGUAACUGGUCUGAGAGGAUGAUCAGUCACACUGGAACGGAGACACGGUCCAGACUCCUACGGGAGGCAGCAGUGGGGAAUAGUGGACAAUGGGCGAAAGCCUGAUCCAGCCAUGCCGCGUGUGUGAAGAAGGUCUUCGGAUUGUAAAGCACUUUAAGUUGGGAGGAAGGGCAGUAAGUUAAUACCUUGCUGUUUUGACGUUACCAACAGAAUAAGCACCGGCUAACUUCGUG